Molecule: small RNA, 1693 nt
Filed under: Arabidopsis thaliana (thale cress)
Lineage: Eukaryota; Viridiplantae; Streptophyta; Magnoliopsida; Brassicales; Brassicaceae
Description: ATSL170480
Source: RNAcentral
UUUUUUGUCAACGGAUUUUAUUUAGAGUUCAAAAGAGCCAAUUGUGAGGGAAAUUGUUUACAAAAGUGACAUGAAGCGGUUCAGUACGAAUUUUUUGUGCCAAUUUGUCCGCCUUUACAUUUGCAGUUCGAGAAAUUAAAGAUAAAGAAAAUUUUGUGAAUUCCUCUUUAUCGGUUUUUAAUUCCUCCAAAUAAGUUGAAAACGCUGGUCAUUCGGUUGGAGAAGACACCAUCUUCACCAUGUCUGAACAGUCUGUAAAAAAUGCUACUUCUUGGUUGUCGGCACCAAUCAUACACUUCAUCGCCCAAAGUAGAGCUUCGACUUCUGUAUGGAGUGGAGAAAGACUUCUACGAAGAUUAGCAGCUCCCAUGGCUGGCGAGUCUCCAUUUGAUGAUGUGCAAAACCACCAUAAUCAAGAAAACUUAUAGCUUCCUUUUCAAGAUCCGUCCACAAAACAACGCAAACCAGAAUAAAUAUUAUCGUGUGAUAUAUUCUGGACCCAAAUUUGUUUUUCCGAUCCCAUGGAACCGUUAUUUUCGGAACUGAGCUCAAAUUGAGCUAACUACCAUGAUUGUGCCUCUUUUUCUGCUAAACAUAAUACGUCUAACGGAUCUUUAUCCACAUUUUCAAAUAUUUUUUCGUUCCUUGCUUUCCAAAUAUACCAGAUUAUCCAUAGAAAUGAAGAUGAAUCAAAUUCUGAAGGUAUUCUUGAAAAUAAGUGAUCCAAAUUCGUAAAAAUAAAAUCCGUAGGAAAAAUUCCUGGAACUGUAGAAAUCUUUGAGAGAGCUCAUAUCUGUCUAGCCGGAUGACAUUGGAACAGAGAAUGGUUUAUUGUUUCCGUAAUAGCGCCACAUCUGACACAUCCUGUAUCACAAUUUAUACCUCUUCUCCGUAAAUUCUCCGUGACAGGGACACAACCUGACAAUGUUUGCCACAAAAAAUGUCGUAACUUAGGUGGACAUUGCACUUUCAAGCAUGUGCUUUUAGAACGUUUAUUUCAGGACCAAUGAAAGAUGAAUUAUCCUCCAAUUUUUCUAACCUUGCUGUAUGAUAACCAGAUUUAACUGUAUAUUUUCCGGAUUUUGUGAAAUGCCAACCUAGAGUAUCCUCUUUUGUUGACGUACCCAAGUGCAAUGCACUUAUUAGCUGGACAUCUUCCGGAUCAAAGAGCUCAUUCAAAAGAUCAAUAUUCCAAAAAUUUGACCGGCUAUCUAUUAAAUGUUGGACUUUUAAAGAUGGGUCAAUAAUUGAACCAUUACUUAUUGCUGGUCUCAGGAAUUGAGCCGGAAUCCACGGAUCCUCCCAAACUGAGAUAGAUGCCCCUGAACCAACUCUUUUAAUAAGUCCUUUAUUAACCAGAGAUCUAGCUGAACAAAGACUUCUCCAUCCAUAAGACGGAGAGUAUAAUUUUAUAUUUUCCAAAGAAUUGGAUUUUCGAUAAUAUCUCCCUUUGAAAACCUUUGCAAAAAGAGAAUCUGUAACCGUUAUCAAACGCCAUAACUGUUUCGAUAGUAUAGCUGAAUUAAAAUCAUCUAUACUCCGAAAACCUAAACCACCUUCCAAUUUGCUAAUACACAAUUUAUUCCAAGCCAUCUAGUGCAUACCUCUAAAUUCACCAUUCGAAUUCCACGAAAGUCACAUAUAGAAUUUGAUAUUAUUAUAUACCAAAAAUAUGUUCAUAAUACAUGCUAAU